AUCAGUCGACUCCUACGGGAGGCAGCAGUGGGAAUAUGACAAUGGGCGCAAGCCUGAUGCAGCCAUGCCGCGUGUGUGAAGAAGGCCUUCGGGUUGUAAAGCACUUUCAGUCGUGAGGAAGGUAGUGUAGUUAAUAGCUGCAUAUUUGACGUUAGCGACAGAAGAAGCACCGGCUAACUCCGUGCCAGCAGCCGCGGUAAUACGGAGGGUGCGAGCGUUAAUCGGAAUUACUGGGCGUAAAGCGCAUGCAGGUGGUUUGUUAAGUCAGAUGUGAAAUCCCCGGGCUCAACCUGGGAACUGCAUUGGUGACUGGCAGGCUAGAGUAUGGCAGAGGGGGGUAGAAUUCCACGUGUAGCAGUGAAAUGCGUAGAGAUGUGGAGGAAUACCGAUGGCGAAGGCAGCCCCCUGGGCCAAUACUGACGCUCAUGCACGAAAGCGUGGGGAGCAAACAGGAUUAGAUACCCUGGUAG
RNAcentral lists this ribosomal RNA (470 nucleotides) under uncultured bacterium. Its description in RNAcentral is "bacterial SSU rRNA". It matches the Rfam family "Bacterial small subunit ribosomal RNA", at positions 327 to 793 of the family's 1533-position model. The record is from RNAcentral.